RNAcentral lists this unclassified non-coding RNA (1476 nucleotides) under Monomorium pharaonis (pharaoh ant). RNAcentral describes it as "uncharacterized LOC118645101, transcript variant X6". Lineage: Eukaryota; Metazoa; Arthropoda; Insecta; Hymenoptera; Formicidae. The record is from RNAcentral.
UCAGCGCAUGUUAGCGCAUGAUAUGUGGCAGCACUUUAAUGUAUAUAUACGGUGGUGUACAGAUCGGUGUACAUUAGUGUUAAUCAGUGUGUACGAAUAAAACGAAAUUAACGCUAGAAUAUUUUCCAAAGUGUUGAAGAAUUUCGAUCGAGAACUUUUGGAGAAAAAGUUGUAUGUAAGUACUUCUGUGUACAUUACAACGACCAAAUAGAUACAUAGAUAGGUACAUAAAAAAAUGUAUACUGUUGUCGAGUUUGAGGACGGUAUCAUGGCAGUGCCAAGUGCAUGGGUUGAUACUAAAGAGCUUACAUGCAAAUGGCCUCCAUAUUCAGAUGUUGCCAUUGAGAAAGCAAUUAUUGAUAUUGAUGAAGUUACCGAAGACUGGGACACGUUGUCUAUUAUUAGAGUAUUUGGAAAAUCAGUUCGUAAUUUGGAAACUGCGAAAGAAAAAGCGCGUUUGGCUGAAAUGGUAUCCGACUGCGACAACGAGGAAGUUUUGAAAAAAAGUAGACACGAGAGAAAAAGAAAAGCAGUCGAUUCUACGAAUGAAGACAGUGAUGAGAAUUCACAAGACCCUAAAAAAAUAAGCAAAAAUAAAUCGUUAUAUAAGUCGAAAAUACCGUCAACUUUAUUAUCAUUGAAUGCUAGACAAAAUGUUUCCAACAAAAAACUUUUAACUACUAUAAAUGAUGGAGAAACAUAUAAACAAUCAAAAGAUUGUACAAAAGAAAAUAAGAAGGAAAUCCCUUCUACAUUGAAGACUUCCAUUUUGCCACGAAAUUCAUUUUCUUAUUGUGAUAUUAACAGUGUAAAUGAUGAUUUUGGUGAUACAAACAAUGACAUCCCCACGCCAAGACAAAGCGAUGUUGUAAAAACGUUUGAAAAAAGUGUUCGUGUUACUAAUACUCAUGAUAUAACUACCAAAAUACCAAAUAACGACAUUAAUGAAAAACUUAAUUAUUUAAUUGGUUUAGAAGAAGAAAAUGUCAAGAAAAAUAAUGCUAUCUUGCAAGAAAUGAAAGAGAUUCGAAAAGUAAUGAUUAACUUACGUCCGAAAACAUACAAUGACCCUACCGUACAGUCUGUAGAAGAAUCUGUAAUUAAAGAAACAAAUUUGAAUGACUUUUUUCCGCUCAAUGACAAUAAUGCGCUAGAGGCACUGGAAGAGAAAUUGGAAAAUAGAGUGUUCCAGAAGGAUGUGAUUCUGCUCAAAAUCUGUUUGCGCAGCUUUGGCUAUCUGGGAAAAUAUAAAAUCUAUAAUGAGAUUGUUAACCAAAAGAGGAGGGCGAAGUGCAUAUGAACUUGCAACCAAUAUUUUAGCGAAGGUAUUCACAAACAGUUUUGCUGCACAAUAUAGUUAUUAUGGAAAACAGAAAAAGAAGCCUUUAUCCGAAUUAAAAAUCACCAAAUGUAUUAUUGAGGCAGUUUCACAUUCUUACCAAGACAUUAAAGAACACGAUGUGGAAAAAAAAAUAG